AAAGGCUUAGUUGAGUUGAGUUUGAUAAAUAUCCAUUGAGAUAUUAUAGGCCAUAGUUACUUGGAAUAUGGUACCCUUAGGUAUGUGGUACGGUUACAGGAAUGUGGUACGUUACCUAAUUAAAUAUAAGAUACGUAGGGGGUAGGCUUAAUUGAUAUGCCAAUUUAGAUCCCUAUACACAAAUUAUAUUUAUCUGGAACUCAAAUUUAUUUUUGUGGCACUAUUCUUUUUUUAUAUAUAUUUUAUUUAACAUAAUAUAUUUAUAGAAAUAAAAAUAUUAACUUAAUUUUAGUAAUUAAUUAAUAUGAUAAUUUUUUUGAAAUAACGAACACAUUAUUCAAAAUUUG
Molecule: unclassified non-coding RNA, 347 nt
Filed under: Hevea brasiliensis (rubber tree)
Lineage: Eukaryota; Viridiplantae; Streptophyta; Magnoliopsida; Malpighiales; Euphorbiaceae
Source: RNAcentral